AGCAUGUACUGAGCUCUGCUCCCAGGCAUACGCCAGAGGAAUAGCAGAGCCGGGCGGAAACCCUGGGUCUCCAGCCACACGCGCAUGUCCAAAGUCAACAUCAUGAAGUGGUUUAUUCUCCAGUUGCUCAUAUUUCCCUGCCUGGUGGUGUUGCCAGUGACCGGAAAAUGGAGAGAAAAAGUUGUUUCUGCAAUUGAAAUUACAGGUUACAUUUUACCAAAGCCGAAACCGAGGAUCUGUGCGAGGAUUCCCGAGGAGUGGCAGUGCAGAGCCCGGUGCACGUUACACAGGGACUGUCUCACUGGUCUGCGCUGCUGCCAAGCCUCAUGUGGAAACGUCUGCAUGUCUCCUGAAGAUAUUGAGGACAACAAAUUGAAACAUAAAGCCAGAACAUAAUUUCCAGCACUGAUGCCUUAAACCGCCAGUGAGAGUUGGAGGAUACCUGGAGGUCUUAGAAGAGCACUAUGAGACCUUCUUUUCGCUCCACUUGGGGGUUGGGGAAUGUGGCCAGGGCAAUGUCAACCUGCUUCCCUGAGCUCUUAUUACAUUAGCAGCAGGACUUGAGGCUUCAAGUCCUUGCCUUAUAAGCAGCGCCAAUAACCCAGGGUCUUUGUUUCUUUUUCUGUAGUCCAACAAUUGUUUGCUGCCCUCACUGUUUGCUCUCACCCCAUCUUUUGCAUAAGCCCCCAGCCCUUGCCUCCUGGUUUGGCUCUCCCUGCCUUCUCACCAUUUGGAGGCUCGGCCAGGACUCCUGUGCUCUCCUUUUCUUUAUUCAUUGACUGACAUUGCUGGGGGAAAACUGCUUGUAUGGGGGCUGUUCUCAGGGCUGCAGCAGACACUGUCCUGCUGGCUGUAACAUUUCUCCCAUUAUCUUAGGUCUGUGAUUCUUUUAUGUACCUCCCUUUUUAACUAAUCCACGCAAAUACAAUCUUACUUGUACAUGAAAACAACACCUCUAGAAUUGGAGGGCGAUGCCAUUGGCCACUCUACUCAAGUUUUUUUCCCAGGCAAUGCCUAACUUGUAACUAUUAUUAUUCAGUAAUUUGGAAUCUGCAAGGAUCUUUUCAAAUGUAAAUAGUGCUAGAAAGAAUAAGAAACUUUCAGAGGGGUAUAGAGAACCUACCAUGUGCCCAGAUUGUGGCAAGGGCCAUUUCGCAUGAAUGGAGAUGUCACUUACUAUAUCUGCUGGCAAAUAGCCCAAGGAAAGGUUAAGCUGUACAAUCCAACCCAGUAGAAACCAGGAAGGGGCAUGACAGAAAAGACCAAAGGGACCUGUAAUUGGUGCCAUAAAGUAUGGACAGAGGGGUUGUUGUGGGUUGUGGUAUCAGGGCAGGCUUCCUAGAAGAAGGAAUGCCUGGUUUUACCAUGAGGAAUAGGGAGGAAUUGCUAUAUCUCUGAGUGAAAUUUAUUUUUCCCUCCCUGUCAAGAUUUAAAUACAGAAUGCAGUGAGGAUGGAAGCAAGGGAAAUUGAAUGAAAUGAAAGGCUAAACCCUUUCUGUCUCCCCAGCAAUAACAGGUGAAGCCCAGAAAGGUUGGAUCAUGAACUUGGUAGCAAGCUCCACGAUCCUAGCACAUUCUGUUUGCCAACUUUUCCAUUUGGGCUUCUGUUGUUACUUUGAUAAAACCCUCAGAGCCCAAGUAUUGUGCUUUAAUUAGCAAAGAGGAACAAAUAGGCACAGUCUGGUAGCUGGACCUUCCCCAAUUCACUCAGCAAGCUGGUGAUGAAUGGGUAUAUAGAUCUCCUUGUCUAAACUCCUCCGUACUUGAGUUUUUUGAAAUAUGUCUACUUUAGGGACUAGAGUUGUGCUGAAGGCAGAGAGUCCUGUGGGGAGUA
Long non-coding RNA from Nycticebus coucang (slow loris), 1834 nucleotides. RefSeq lists it as uncharacterized. The record is from RefSeq and is a predicted model, not a curated record. NCBI's taxonomy places the organism in Eukaryota, Metazoa, Chordata, Mammalia, Primates, Lorisidae. The transcript is spliced from 4 exons.